This 81-nucleotide transfer RNA is filed under the name Stachybotrys chartarum IBT 7711. Its description in RNAcentral is "tRNA-Ser (GCT) (tRNA-Ser-GCT-1-1, tRNA-Ser-GCT-1-2)". It matches the Rfam family "tRNA". From Rfam's summary of the family: Transfer RNA (tRNA) molecules are approximately 80 nucleotides in length. Their secondary structure includes four short double-helical elements and three loops (D, anti-codon, and T loops). Further hydrogen bonds mediate the characteristic L-shaped molecular structure. tRNAs have two regions of fundamental functional importance: the anti-codon, which is responsible for specific mRNA codon recognition, and the 3' end, to which the tRNAs corresponding amino acid is attached (by aminoacyl-tRNA synthetases). tRNAs cope with the degeneracy of the genetic code in two manners: having more than one tRNA (with a specific anti-codon) for a particular amino acid; and 'wobble' base-pairing, i.e. permitting non-standard base-pairing at the 3rd anti-codon position. Lineage: Eukaryota; Fungi; Ascomycota; Sordariomycetes; Hypocreales; Stachybotryaceae. The record is from RNAcentral. RNAcentral also lists the same sequence under 3 other names.
GACGGGAUGGCCGAGUGGUUAAGGCGAUGCCCUGCUAAGGCAUUGGGUUCGCCCGCGCGUGUUCGAAUCACGUUUCCGUCG